RNAcentral lists this transfer RNA (71 nucleotides) under Loxodonta africana (African savanna elephant). It matches the Rfam family "tRNA". Rfam says of the family: Transfer RNA (tRNA) molecules are approximately 80 nucleotides in length. Their secondary structure includes four short double-helical elements and three loops (D, anti-codon, and T loops). The record is from Rfam by way of RNAcentral. Lineage: Eukaryota; Metazoa; Chordata; Mammalia; Proboscidea; Elephantidae.
GCAGUGGUGGUUUAGUGGUAGAAUUCUUGCCUUCCAUGCAGGAGACGCAGGCUCAAUUCCCAGUCAGUGCA